This is a non-coding RNA of Parelaphostrongylus tenuis, 73 nucleotides long. Lineage: Eukaryota; Metazoa; Nematoda; Chromadorea; Rhabditida; Metastrongylidae. The record is from the annotation of a GenBank genome assembly.
UCCUUGAUGGUGUAGUGGUAGCACACGCCUCAGGCAUAGGUGAAACACAGGUUCAACUCCCGUGUGAGGUCAA